CCCGGGCCGGGCUACCGGGAGGAGGCCGUGCGGGUGGCGCUGGGGCAGCGGCCGGGAUGUCCGGCCGGCUGGCAUCUCGCGCGCGCGCGUACGCAUCAUCCCGCCGGCGGACCCAGAGCCGAAGUCCCGCUUUGCGCGCACCGGGAGGUGUGAGGCCCGCGGUGGCAGUUCGCGCCGCGCUGGGGUUUGGGUUGCUAUGCCAAACUGUUGCUUUCGCCGAGCUUCUUUAAGAGGAACCGACCCCGAGAGGGUUGGGAAAACACUACAAGAAAACUUUAGGAAAGGGGUUGCAGAUAAUGUGAGCUGUGGAUGGUGGUGAUCCAAAAAGGCUAUUCGUGCGUCUAUAAAUGGCAAAAAUCGAACUUUGCGUUUUUUUCCCUAGCCAACAGUUUUGAAACUCUGCGUCCUGGAACUUGGGAGGGGAGGGGAUCUUCAUCAGGUUAUCAGGGGAGAAACAGUCUAUGGGCAGUAGAUCGGUAUUUAUUCCAGGAGCGCUCUGUUGUUAAAAUCACAAAGUGAAGUUGGGUCACGUGGGUAGUACUCACUUUCCCUCCUCUUCAGUGGUGCCCAAAUCCUGCUCGGAAAAUCUCCGAUGAUCGCCAUCGUCUGUCAAAUCUGCAAACCCAAGGCUGCUUCAGGGGAGCUAAGGAAGCCCCUCUGCCUCCUCCCCAACUCUGAGAACGAAACUUUUGCCUUUGAUAACUUAGAGCAAAUAUGUGUCCACUGACGGGUAACUUUAAGGAGAAAAAAGAGCGUCUGCCUAGUUUAUCACCCCCCUUACCAAUAUCACUAAAACCUUCGCAGUUAUCUAAUUUAAGCUGCCAGUUUUCAGGGGCCUGAAAAAGUAAAGUUUAGUAUACAGGCUCUGUGUGUCUGGGAAGAAAAAGAAAGGAAAAAAAAGACCAAAAUACGUUUUCAAAAUCCAAAAGAAAGCUUGUAAAUUGAUGAAUUUGCUGCUAUAAAAAUGUCGGGUGGAACAUUUGUGUCUUUCAGAAUUGUAGCAGUUUGAUUAUGGGGGUACCAGAAAGGAGUAGAAAAAUAAUCUAGAUACACAUUAACCAGCCACAUAAGUAGUGUUUAUGCUAUAUUUAUCUGUCCCGUGGUCAAGACGCAUCACCCAUUACCUGUCACAGAUUAUAAAGUGAUUUGCAAUAAAUUAUAUCAUUUCUAUGUGAUGGUGUUAUGCAGCCAUUAUAACAUUUUGUCUAAUAGUUGAAUAGAAUAUGCUUAGCUAUAAAAAUGAGUAUUUUUUGAAAUGUGACACCUUAACAGUGGAAUUACAUGUGACUUAUUUUCUUUAUGCUUUUCUAUGCUUUGCAAAAUUUCUAAUUAAACAUAAAAAAAACCUUGAGCAAAAAAAAAAAGUUAAAAGUCAAUUAGGCUGUACUGUGAAAUGGUAUAGAAUAAUAAUAAAGCACAACCAUAAGAACAAAACUAAAUAUACAUUAUGAGUGACACUAUGCCAUAAAAACUGAAAUGAAACAAAACUAAUAUUUGAGGUAUUUGAAUGGUAAAAUUGGAGGCAUAUAAUCAUUUCCAGAAGAUCUUUUCCUACUUUUGCAUAAGGAUAUUGUUACAGAUUAGAAAAUGAAUAUUUUCUAAUUUAUGGGAGUUUGGACUUGGAAAAUGAAUAUUCCCAUAAACCUGAAAAGACUUUAUGUCAGAUAUGUAAGAGUUAUAAAUGUUUGCUGACUGGAUUUGGAGUUUUUUUUCUAAUGUAAAUAUAUGCUGUGUCAUACAUAACAUUAAAGUUCAAAGUGGUC
Molecule: long non-coding RNA, 1763 nt
Filed under: Marmota monax (woodchuck)
Lineage: Eukaryota; Metazoa; Chordata; Mammalia; Rodentia; Sciuridae
Source: RNAcentral